RNAcentral lists this transfer RNA (72 nucleotides) under Thecaphora frezii. RNAcentral's name for it is "tRNA-Asp". It matches the Rfam family "tRNA". Rfam says of the family: Transfer RNA (tRNA) molecules are approximately 80 nucleotides in length. Lineage: Eukaryota; Fungi; Basidiomycota; Ustilaginomycetes; Urocystidales; Glomosporiaceae. RNAcentral also lists the same sequence under 1 other name. The record is from RNAcentral.
UCCGAAUUAGUUUAGUGGCUAUGACGGCACCUUGUCACGGUGCAGACCCGGGUUCGAUUCCCGGAUUUGGAG